UCAGCCUCUCAGGGCACCAGGUGCGUCUCCAAGGAGCUACAAAGCGAGCAGGAUGGUGCUGAGCAGCAAACCCUUCAGCUUGUUGGGGAAUCGACAGGCUGUCGCUGUCGACUACAUGCCCGUCCUUCGCCUCUUCUCUGCACAACAACAAAAAACAGAACUAGGGAGGAGUUUGAACCACUGGAGCGGCACACAUCUGGGCCUCUCUAAAUCAACCGUACGGCUCCUGGC
Nematolebias whitei (Rio pearlfish) is the source of this 231-nucleotide long non-coding RNA. RefSeq lists it as uncharacterized. The transcript has 3 exons. The record is from RefSeq and is a predicted model, not a curated record. NCBI's taxonomy places the organism in Eukaryota, Metazoa, Chordata, Actinopteri, Cyprinodontiformes, Rivulidae.